GUUAAUCUUCCUAAGUACUGGCUUCCAAAGGUGAGUAGAUGGCAUUCGAUACACUCUAGCACCAUUCGAAAUCAGUACUGAAGGCGAAGAUUUGUUCUGCGUGA
RNAcentral lists this microRNA precursor (104 nucleotides) under Aedes aegypti (yellow fever mosquito). RNAcentral's name for it is "microRNA aae-mir-285 precursor". Its record names the gene aae-mir-285. The stretch from base 12 to 81 matches the Rfam family "mir-29 microRNA precursor family". From Rfam's summary of the family: This family represents the microRNA (miRNA) precursors mir-29. Animal miRNAs are transcribed as ~70nt precursors and subsequently processed by the Dicer enzyme to give a ~22nt product. In this case the mature sequence comes from the 3' arm of the precursor. Lineage: Eukaryota; Metazoa; Arthropoda; Insecta; Diptera; Culicidae. The record is from miRBase by way of RNAcentral.